UGUCUACAGCAAGGGACUACAUUAGCAUAUCUACUCAGUACAGAAAUGAAAUUGUCCUUUGUUUUCUAUUUUAGGUCAGAACUAAAGUAGGGUAGGUGGUGUGGUAAGUCAGCUUGGCUCACAGUCUAGUCUAGCCUGGAUUUAUUAGUGAUUGUGAUAAUAUUAUGUGUUCCAUCUGGCGCUGCCAUUCUUUUAUGUCUCAAAUGUUUCAGAAUUCAGAUGGGGAAAAGGUGUAUUGGGCUUUUAAAGCCCUCAUAAGAGAAUAUUUCAUACUAUCAGAAAAAGGUACCACUUCUUCAUAUCUACUUACAAACUAUCUAAUAGAAUUACUUGUGAGUCUGAAUUGCAGUAGCAAUUCUUCCACAUCAACUUUUAAAGAAAAAAAAAAAGAAAAGAAAAAAGAAAAAAAAAUCCCUUAUCAAACACUGCAGGCAACCUCAGGUACUUCAGAAUCAAGAGGCCAUGCUGAGUCAGUGUUUGGAGUUGGGAGAGUGGGCUUUUAAUUCAAUAAGUCAGAGAGGAAAGAAUGCAUAAGGAAAGAGGCCAAAGGGAUUUAUGGUAGAGAAGGAUAGAGCCAACGAAUGAGGGAAUCAGGAAUAUGGAGUGGGAAGCAUUAUGACAGAAGUCCAGAAUGAGACUGAUCUUAUUUACAUGCUUGAGAUGAGGACAAUAGCAAAAAUUGCUCUAACAGUGCAGGCUUUGGACUAUCUGGUAAUAUCUUGACCUCUGGAGGGGAUGGGGACAAAGGCUGGUCAUGCGGGAAGUCUACCAAAAUUUGUGACUGAUCAUCAAUAGAAGCUCUGGACACCAAGGCCUGGAUGAUCUUCAUUAGUUGGUAGUAUUCCAUGGGUGUCAUCACACAUCAAUGAGAAAAGAAAAAUCAUUGUUUUGCAUAACUUCACUGGGAGAAACUAGAAGUUGUCCUCCACCGAGAAGACCACCAGAAGCUCAUGCUCGAAAACCUCUUGGGUCCCACCCUGUGCACUCUCUCCUUGAAUGAUUUUAAUUGGUAUCCUUUCACUAUAAUAAACUGUCACCAUGAGUCU
Long non-coding RNA from Homo sapiens (human), 1046 nucleotides. RefSeq lists it as uncharacterized. NCBI's taxonomy places the organism in Eukaryota, Metazoa, Chordata, Mammalia, Primates, Hominidae. The transcript has 2 exons. The record is from RefSeq and is a predicted model, not a curated record.